RNAcentral lists this unclassified non-coding RNA (485 nucleotides) under Hevea brasiliensis (rubber tree). Lineage: Eukaryota; Viridiplantae; Streptophyta; Magnoliopsida; Malpighiales; Euphorbiaceae. The record is from RNAcentral.
ACUUCAAAAAGGGUACUGAUGUUUUUUUACAACUCUUAAUCGUUAUCUUAUAUUUGCAAAUAUUACAUUUUUUUUAGUCUACUCCAUUAUUUCCUCCAUCAUCCAUUUAUGAACAUCAAGUAAAGGAAGAUGAUCUCUUAGUUUACACCGUCAAACAGUUGUCCAGUCCUCAGAAUCCUUCAGCUCCAACUGUCCUGGCACCUGUUCAUCCCCCCAUUAUUCAUGUCUAUUCUAGAAGAUUAGAGACUCUUGACUGAAAACCUCCACUAGCCUAUUCAUAGAAAGAUCCAAUCCCCUCUACUGAUCCUUGGUUUGACCUCGAUCUUCUCAUUGCUCUUUGCAAAGGUACGCAUAUAUGUACCUAUUCUAUUGACCUCGAUCCUCGUUGUUUUGUUACUUCAUUUGACUCUAAAAAAUUCCUAAAAUUGUUGUUGAGGUCUUAUCUCAAGCAGGCUAGUAUGAUUUUAUAGGCCUUUAUGCAGAUG